Molecule: ribosomal RNA, 496 nt
Filed under: uncultured bacterium
Lineage: Bacteria
Description: partial 16S ribosomal RNA
Rfam family: Bacterial small subunit ribosomal RNA
Source: RNAcentral
AUGAACGCUGGUGGCGUGCCUAAUACCUGCAAGUCGAGCGCACAGACGAGGAGCUUGCUCCUCUGACGUUAGCGGCGGACGGGUGAGUAACACGUGGAUAACCUACCUAUAAGACUGGGAUAACUUCGGGAAACCGGAGCUAAUACCGGAUAAUAUAUUGAACCGCAUGGUUCAAUAGUGAAAGACGGUUUUGCUGUCACUUAUAGAUGGAUCCGCGCCGCAUUAGCUAGUUGGUAAGGUAACGGCUUACCAAGGCAACGAUGCGUAGCCGACCUGAGAGGGUGAUCGGCCACACUGGAACUGAGACACGGUCCAGACUCCUACGGGAGGCAGCAGUAGGGAAUCUUCCGCAAUGGGCGAAAGCCUGACGGAGCAACGCCGCGUGAGUGAUGAAGGUCUUCGGAUCGUAAAACUCUGUUAUUAGGGAAGAACAAAUGUGUAAGUAACUAUGCACGUCUUGACGGUACCUAAUCAGAAAGCCACGGCUAACUACGUG